GUAUAUGAAAUAAUUUUGGGGAUUAUUGAAUAGACGUGAAUAAAUGAAAUUCCAUUACGGGGGUCAUGAUACAUGAAAGAGAAGGACCCCAGAAAUGUAGGAGAGUGAGCGUCGAGCCGUCAAGUAACGCUUUCAACGCAAGGAAGGGUAGAGUUGUAAUUUUUGGGGCGAAAAGGAUGGAGAACAGGAGAAGUGAGAGGGCCCUCCAGUCAAAUUGAAGUAUGAAAGCAGGGAUAGCGGUUCUGUGCCAUGUAGGCUGUAGCAGACUUUUCUGAAG
This 277-nucleotide long non-coding RNA is filed under the name Vitis vinifera (wine grape). RNAcentral describes it as "long non-coding RNA (VVIN_LNC007848)". The record is from RNAcentral. Lineage: Eukaryota; Viridiplantae; Streptophyta; Magnoliopsida; Vitales; Vitaceae.